RNAcentral lists this ribosomal RNA (429 nucleotides) under bacterium. RNAcentral's name for it is "partial 16S ribosomal RNA". It matches the Rfam family "Bacterial small subunit ribosomal RNA", at positions 355 to 776 of the family's 1533-position model. The record is from RNAcentral.
UGGGGAAUCUUCCGCAAUGGACGAAAGUCUGACGGAGCAACGCCGCGUGAGUGAUGACGGCCUUCGGGUUGUAAAGCUCUGUUAAUCGGGACGAAUGGUUCUUGUGCAAAUAGUGCGAGGAUUUGACGGUACCGGAAUAGAAAGCCACGGCUAACUACGUGCCAGCAGCCGCGGGAAUACGUAGGUGGCAAGCGUUGUCCGGAAUUAUUGGGCGUAAAGCGCGCGCAGGCGGAUUGGUCUGUCUGUCUUAAAAGUUCGGGGCUUAACCCCGUGAUGGGAUGGAAACUGCCAAUCUAGAGUAUCGGAGAGGAAAGUGGAAUUCCUAGUGUAGCGGUGAAAUGCGUAGAUAUUAGGAAGAACACCAGUGGCGAAGGCGACUUUCUGGACGAAAACUGACGCUGAGGCGCGAAAGCCAGGGGAGCGAACGGG